RNAcentral lists this ribosomal RNA (482 nucleotides) under uncultured bacterium. RNAcentral describes it as "partial 16S ribosomal RNA". It matches the Rfam family "Bacterial small subunit ribosomal RNA", at positions 30 to 507 of the family's 1533-position model. The record is from RNAcentral.
AUUGAACGCUGGCGGCAUGCCUUACACAUGCAAGUCGAACGGUAACAGGUCUUCGGAUGCUGACGAGUGGCGAACGGGUGAGUAAUACAUCGGAACGUGCCCGAUCGUGGGGGAUAACGAGGCGAAAGCUUUGCUAAUACCGCAUACGAUCUACGGAUGAAAGCAGGGGACCGCAAGGCCUUGCGCGAACGGAGCGGCCGAUGGCAGAUUAGGUAGUUGGUGGGAUAAAAGCUUACCAAGCCGACGAUCUGUAGCUGGUCUGAGAGGACGACCAGCCACACUGGGACUGAGACACGGCCCAGACUCCUACGGGAGGCAGCAGUGGGGAAUUUUGGACAAUGGGCGAAAGCCUGAUCCAGUCAUGCCGCGUGCAGGAUGAAGGCCUUCGGGUUGUAAACUGCUUUUGUACGGAACGAAAAGACUCUGGUUAAUACCUGGGGUCCAUGACGGUACCGUAAGAAUAAGCACCGGCUAACUACGUG